CCUACGGGUGGCAGCAGUGGGGAAUAUUGGUCAAUGGGCGCGAGCCUGAACCAGCCAAGUAGCGUGAAGGAUGACUGCCCUACGGGUUGUAAACUUCUUUUAUAAAGGAAUAAAGUGAGGCACGUGGGCCUUUUUGUAUGUACUUUAUGAAUAAAGAUCGGCUAACUCCGUGCCAGCAGCAGCGGUAAUACGGAGGAUCCGAGCGUUAUCAGGAUUUAUUGUGUUUAAAGGGAGCGUAGAUGGGUUGUUAAGUCAGUUGUGAAAGUUUGCGGUUCAACCGUAAAAUUGCAAUUGAUCCUGGCAGUCUUGAGUACAGUUGAGGUAGGCGGAAUUCGUGGUGUAGCGAUGAAAUGCUUAGAUAUCACGAAGAACUCCGAUUGCGAAGGCAGCUUACUAAACUGCCACUGACAUUGAUGCUCGAAAGUGUGGGUAUCAAACAGGAUUAGAUACCCUGGUAGUC
This 460-nucleotide ribosomal RNA is filed under the name uncultured bacterium. Its description in RNAcentral is "partial 16S ribosomal RNA". It matches the Rfam family "Bacterial small subunit ribosomal RNA", at positions 338 to 795 of the family's 1533-position model. The record is from RNAcentral.